ACGGGGCCCGCACAAGCGGAGGAACAUGUGGUUUAAUUCGAUGAUACGCGGGGAACCUUACCUGGGCUUAAAUGGGAGUGACAGCUGGCGAAAGUUGGUUUUCUUCGGACACUCUUCAAGGUGCUGCAUGGUUGUCGUCAGCUCGUGCCGUGAGGUGUCGGGUUAAGUCCCAUAACGAGCGCAACCCUUACUGUUAGUUGCCAGCGGGUCAAGCCGGGAACUCUAACGGGACUGCCACCGUAAGGUGAGAGGAAGGUGGGAUGACGUCAAAUCAGCACGGCCCUUAUGUCCAGGGCUACACACGUGUUACAAUGGUCGGUACAAAGGGCAGCUACACCGCGAGGUGAUGCUAAUCUCAAAAAACCGCUCUCAGUUCAGAUUGGAGUCUGCAACUCGACUCCAUGAAGGCGGAAUCGCUAGUAAUCGCGGAUCAGCAUGCCGCGGUGAAUACGUUCCCGGGCCUU
This 464-nucleotide ribosomal RNA is filed under the name uncultured Sphingobacteriales bacterium. RNAcentral's name for it is "bacterial SSU rRNA". It matches the Rfam family "Bacterial small subunit ribosomal RNA", at positions 916 to 1381 of the family's 1533-position model. Lineage: Bacteria; Pseudomonadati; Bacteroidota; Sphingobacteriia; Sphingobacteriales. The record is from RNAcentral.